UACGUAGGGUGCAAGCGUUAAUCGGAAUUACUGGGCGUAAAGCGUGCGCAGGCGGUUGUGCAAGACAGAUGUGAAAUCCCCGGGCUUAACCUGGGGAUUGCAUUUGUGACUGCACGGCUAGAGUGUGUCAGAGGGGGGUAGAAUUCCACGUGUAGCAGUGAAAUGCGUAGAUAUGUGGAGGAAUACCGAUGGCGAAGGCAGCCCCCCUGGGAUAACACUGACGCCUC
Molecule: ribosomal RNA, 227 nt
Filed under: uncultured bacterium
Lineage: Bacteria
Description: partial 16S ribosomal RNA
Rfam family: Bacterial small subunit ribosomal RNA
Source: RNAcentral